GUCAUGAACCCCUGCAUCGAAUGCGGGGGCUUGCAGCAAGGCUCAUCGUCUCGCUACAAGCCCGGAACAUGACCAGACUCAGGCUUGAAACAGAGCCUACGUUAGGAGCGAAUCCAUAGGCACGUCCGGGUGCGACGCCAGCCCGGACCGCUGCGGCAAUCGAUUAAACAGGGCUAGCGGGUUACCCCAGUGUCGUUUGCGUCAAACCGCUCCAUAACCUUGUCGAGGCGAACAUCAC
Molecule: non-coding RNA, 238 nt
Organism: Ktedonobacter sp. 13_2_20CM_53_11
Lineage: Bacteria; Bacillati; Chloroflexota; Ktedonobacteria; Ktedonobacterales; Ktedonobacteraceae
Source: Rfam